Molecule: ribosomal RNA, 473 nt
Filed under: Bacillus licheniformis
Lineage: Bacteria; Bacillati; Bacillota; Bacilli; Caryophanales; Bacillaceae
Description: bacterial SSU rRNA
Rfam family: Bacterial small subunit ribosomal RNA
Source: RNAcentral
GCAGUCGAGCGGACCGACGGGAGCUUGCUCCCUUAGGUCAGCGGCGGACGGGUGAGUAACACGUGGGUAACCUGCCUGUAAGACUGGGAUAACUCCGGGAAACCGGGGCUAAUACCGGAUGCUUGAUUGAACCGCAUGGUUCAAUCAUAAAAGGUGGCUUUUAGCUACCACUUACAGAUGGACCCGCGGCGCAUUAGCUAGUUGGUGAGGUAACGGCUCACCAAGGCGACGAUGCGUAGCCGACCUGAGAGGGUGAUCGGCCACACUGGGACUGAGACACGGCCCAGACUCCUACGGGAGGCAGCAGUAGGGAAUCUUCCGCAAUGGACGAAAGUCUGACGGAGCAACGCCGCGUGAGUGAUGAAGGUUUUCGGAUCGUAAAACUCUGUUGUUAGGGAAGAACAAGUACCGUUCGAAUAGGGCGGCACCUUGACGGUACCUAACCAGAAAGCCACGGCUAACUACGUGCCAGC